CUACCCCGCCGCCCCUGAAAUGAAGUGGCGGCCCGUCCGCGGCGACCUCUGCGUAGUAACUCAACGCGCACCGGAACCCCGACGUGGCCACGCCGUAAAACACCCAACUUCUGAACGUUGACCUCGAAUCAGGUAGGACU
This 140-nucleotide ribosomal RNA is filed under the name Cordyceps fumosorosea. Its description in RNAcentral is "partial 28S ribosomal RNA". Lineage: Eukaryota; Fungi; Ascomycota; Sordariomycetes; Hypocreales; Cordycipitaceae. The record is from RNAcentral.